This 1241-nucleotide long non-coding RNA is filed under the name Amphibalanus amphitrite. Its description in RNAcentral is "uncharacterized LOC122382588". Lineage: Eukaryota; Metazoa; Arthropoda; Thecostraca; Balanomorpha; Balanidae. The record is from RNAcentral.
AUGGUUUACUAACGGGAGAUGUUGUGAAUUGCAGCAGCAAUACUUGGAAUAUAAAGAAGAAGUGAAGCAAUUAUGAUACCUAUUAUUUUUUAUAAUGACAGAAGGAACAUGGAAGAAAAAGACAUUUUUUGCAGCAUGUGAAAACAAGGAAGUAGAAUGAAAAAAGGGCUGCUACUUUUCAUGCGCCCGAAACCAGCCACCUCAUCAUCAUAGCAUGUUGCAUUGGAGCUCUGCUGGAGUUUGCUGAUGACAGCAUGCUGAAGGGCUGAAGCUGGUAGCUCUGGCAGGAGUCCAGUGUCCACCAGCUCAAGAUCCGACGCCGCCGCGUCGCCGCCGUGCGGCACUCCGCGGAGACGGGGACGGCGGUCAUGAUUGAAGACACCGCAUUUCCCGCCUGGACGGUCGGAGACUGGUAAUCCCUCCGGUGAGCCGCACACCGUGGAGCUACUGCACCGCGCGUGUCCACCCGCAGCGCAGUGCCAGCAACGGUGCCGUGAGCGCGACAUCUGCGUGCAUAUGACGCAGUGCGACUGUCACGACUCGCGGCUCAGUGUUCUGUCAGUGUGACAGUGCGGCUCGCGUUCGUUUUAGCGAGGUGCUCUGUUGUAUAUAACCACCUUGAUGGAGAUCUAUGUGCUGCCGCUUGAGUUUCAUUGUACAGUCUUAUGCAUCAAACUAGCGUAAGUAAAUGGCUGUCAGAGGUCAAUUUGAAGCGCAAUUAGUACCCAUAACCCAGCUGGGUUGAGCGAGUCAUGUGACAAGUCCCGAUGAACGUACUGUUUCGAUGUCGUCAGUCGUAGACUUUUGUAAACCAUUCGUUUCGGAGCUCUGUGUUGUGUUGUUCGGGACCGCAGUUGGUUGAGCAGUUUGCUUUAUGCGUCGUACGCUGACAGAACGCUGGUCGUACACAAGUCAUGUGUUUCCUUUCGCCCCUAAUGGGUUACUGCGGUACCUAUGCAGUUGGAAUGUGUCUCGAGACACUAACUGGUUGCACUUGGUUGUGAAAAUGACACUAGCUGGUCGCACUUGGUUUCAAGCUGCGCUUGGAAAUCGUGCAAUUUUAUUUGCAUUUUGCAAUGCAAUUUUAUUGCCGUUACCGUAUUGGUAGAUAGUGUCAGACUCAGAAGUUGGCCAUUUGAUGCGUUGUCACUUGUCAGACGCUGUUGCCUUAGUACUGACAAAUUGAUGGGCCGCGUUUGUGUUCCUGUUAAGAAACGGAUCUCAAUAUAAGGUGAUUCAGA